UCAAACUCGCAACGACAGAGUUGUCAGAGGAACAGAGAGUGUCUGCUUCAAAGCUCAUACCACUUUACAGGAUGUUGCAGCACAAGCUAUCGCAGAAAAAAGGCCAAUCAGCACAGGAAUCAACUGCACAAUUAGGCACACACCUGCAAGAAGGUCUGCACUCAAGAUGUGGUGGGUACGAGUCAUUCAGAGCCUUGGCUCUGGCUACACUGCUGGACCCAAGGUUCAAAAAUGUGGGUUUUGGAAAUCCUGCCAAAGCCCAGGAGGCUGAAAAGCAGAUCACACUGGAGUGUGCUUCGCUGAUGCGUUCAAACACAGCAACUCCUGAGCCACAGUCAACAUCAGGCCCAUCAUCAUCAUCAUCAACAACAACAUCAA
Molecule: long non-coding RNA, 378 nt
Organism: Carassius gibelio (silver crucian carp)
Lineage: Eukaryota; Metazoa; Chordata; Actinopteri; Cypriniformes; Cyprinidae
Exons: 3
Source: RefSeq, a predicted model, not a curated record